UGGGGCUGGUCAGAACUGCCAGCGUGGGGCAUCUGUGGAGGAGGAGAGAGCAGGAGAAAAGAGAGGAACCAGGAUACUUACAUCACCAUAUCCCAAGGGAGGACACCCCUGCCUCAGUGAGCCCCAGAUGAGGCUGGGAAUGGAACACAGAAGGGCAGAAAGGCCAGAGACCCUGGAAGAGGCUCAGUCUGAGACGAGAACAGGAGUUGCUGGGCUGCUGCCUACUGGGGCCAUAUUUCCUACCAACCCCAAACCCAGGG
Molecule: non-coding RNA, 260 nt
Organism: Myodes glareolus (Bank vole)
Lineage: Eukaryota; Metazoa; Chordata; Mammalia; Rodentia; Cricetidae
Source: RefSeq, a predicted model, not a curated record